This is a long non-coding RNA of Dermacentor silvarum, 729 nucleotides long. RefSeq lists it as uncharacterized. Lineage: Eukaryota; Metazoa; Arthropoda; Arachnida; Ixodida; Ixodidae. The record is from RefSeq and is a predicted model, not a curated record. The transcript is spliced from 3 exons.
UCGAGCGUGCAUGCUAUAAAGAAAACCCAACGCUGUCCGAUUUUCAACCAAGACUACAUACCCUCAAGCCUGGUGCUGUGCCGACUAUUUACGCCGCCAUGUGUCCUGCCAAUGCUUCUAAGGGAGGCAUUGGUCCUGCUCCAUUGCCCAAGCGUCUUCGACGACAGGUUCGUACUACUUGCAGCGGUGCGUACGCAUAAUGAUAGCGUCAUAUGUGAUGAUGCCUGAUAUUGCGCAGUCGUGCUCGGACACGGAGCUUGAACCUGCUGCCCCCCCAUCACGUGUCGAUCGACCUGAACGCUGACUGCGAGAUAAACGAGCCCGCAAAUGCAUCAGGUCAAGUAAAGCUGGAUGCACAAUCCCAGUGCUUCGUUGAAGUUUAUUCCAAGGCCACUCAGACGGCUCUGAAAGCUACAACAAAAUCUGCAAAGGUGCAGGCAAGCCGAACUGUCAAGGAAGUGGCAUGCCAGACUGAUUUGGAAUUGCCGGACAUCCUGUUGAUGGAGGAAAUGCGUCAGCGGUGUUCCACACCUUUAUGUUCAGAGCCAUCCAUGACCUAUGAAGGCAACACUCAUGACAAGACAUAUGAGCCUACAUUGAACAGCUCAGUGGCGUAAGUGACAUGACAUUUUGUUUUCUUGUUUGAGCAUGCAGUAAAAAGAGCUAUAAUGUCGGUGGCCUUGGUUUAUAUCUUUCAACAUAACGUCAUGUUUUCACUAUGCCACAACA